AGUGAACGCUGGCGGUAGGCCUAACACAUGCAAGUCGAACGGCAGCACAGUAAGAGCUUGCUCUUACGGGUGGCGAGUGGCGGACGGUUGAUGAAUACAUCGGAAUCUACUUUUUCGUGGGGGCUAACGUAGGGAAACUUACGCUAUUACCGCAUACGACCUACGGGUGAAAGCAUGGGAUCUUCGGACCUUGCGCGAUUGAAUGAGCCGAGGUCGGAUUAGCUAGUUGGCGGGGUAAAGGCCCACCAAGGCGACGAUCCGUAGCUGGUCUGAGAGGAUGAUCAGCCACACUGGAACUGAGACACGGUCCAGACUCCUACGGGAGGCAGCAGUGGGGAAUAUUGGACAAUGGGCGAAAGCCUGAUCCAGCCAUACCGCGUGGGUGAAGAAGGUCUUCGGGUUGUAAAGCGCUUUUGUUGGGAAAGAAAAGCAGCAGGUUAAUACCCCGCUGUUCUGACGGUACCAAAAGAAUAAGCACCGGCUAACUUCGUG
Molecule: ribosomal RNA, 492 nt
Filed under: uncultured bacterium
Lineage: Bacteria
Description: partial 16S ribosomal RNA
Rfam family: Bacterial small subunit ribosomal RNA
Source: RNAcentral